CUCAGUCAAAUUAUCAAAUGCCAAGACUUUAUUAUGUGCAGCUAACCAAAUAAAAACUUGCACUUUGUGGAGAAUCAGCCACUUCCCAAUUUGAGCAAUUUGAGGGAAAGACCAUCUCCAACGGUCAUGAAAGAAAAGAUUAUAAUAAGAUUUAACAGAGAAAAUAUCAUCACUUUCAAUGUCCCAUAUCAUCUUGUCCUCAGC
Molecule: long non-coding RNA, 204 nt
Filed under: Amborella trichopoda
Lineage: Eukaryota; Viridiplantae; Streptophyta; Magnoliopsida; Amborellales; Amborellaceae
Description: long non-coding RNA (ATRI_LNC003411)
Source: RNAcentral